This 510-nucleotide ribosomal RNA is filed under the name uncultured bacterium. Its description in RNAcentral is "partial 16S ribosomal RNA". It matches the Rfam family "Bacterial small subunit ribosomal RNA", at positions 28 to 507 of the family's 1533-position model. The record is from RNAcentral.
GAUGAACGCUGGCGGCGUGCUUAACACAUGCAAGUCGAACGAAAAGCGAUGGAAGCUUGGUUCUAUCAAUCUUAGUGGCGAACGGGUGAGAAACGCGUAAUCAACCCUCCCUUUAGAGGGGGACUACAGUAGGAAACGACACUUAAUACCGGAAACCACCCAAUGGUGGCAUGGGGGCGAGCUUAAAGGUGGCCGCUAUUGAUAAGCCAUCACUGAAGGAGGGGAUUGCGCCUGAUUAGCGAGCUGGAGGGGUAAAGGCCCUCCAAGGCGGUGGUCAGUAGCCGGUCUGGGAGGAUGGGCAGCCGCAAUGGGACUGGGACACGGCCCAGACUCCUUCGGGAAGCAGCAGGGGGGAAACGUGCGCAAUGGGGGGAAAGCUGACGGAACAACGCCGGGGGAGUGAUGACGGGCUUCGGGUUGUGAAGGUCUGUUUGUCGGGACGAAAGGUCCUUGGGCGAAUACGGCGCGGAUUUGACGGUACCGGAAUAAGAAGCCACGGCUAACUACGUG